Molecule: long non-coding RNA, 3358 nt
Organism: Numida meleagris (helmeted guineafowl)
Lineage: Eukaryota; Metazoa; Chordata; Aves; Galliformes; Numididae
Exons: 8
Source: RefSeq, a predicted model, not a curated record
UAGUUCCAAGGUGCUACAAUAAACCAAAAACAGUCUUCUUUUUAGUUCAUUGUUUGUUGCAGCACCAUUAUUUGCCAGGAAAAAAAACAAACCACCGUCUUCACUGUAUGUCACAAUAUUCUAACCAGUAUUUCUUUAGAAUAUGAAUUCAUCGUUCUGUGGUCAGGGAAUGGAGUGAGCAGACAUGCACAGCUGAAUUCCACCACCUCUGGUUCCGCUGGAGAACCUCAGUGGAAAAUCAGGGACGCUGGGCUUCUGUCUGCGGUAAGCUCAUGGAGAACAAAAGCCUUUUGGAGGGGAACUGGCUGUGUUCUAAAGCGACUCCUUGGAGCACCUCCUUUGUGUCCCAUCAGAUCUGUGCGCUGAUACUGGCUUAAAUUCCCCUCCUCAGACAUCACAAUGUCUUCAUGGUAUGUAAACUCAUACCUUUGUCCCAGAUAUUUCUUUUGCUUGAGACAGAGCCAGCGUGUUUAUUCCAGUGAAAGGAUAGUAGCCAAAUGAUUCUCGGCUGUUGCACUCACAGAGCAGUGCUAAACGGAGGAGCUCUGAGGGUGCUGGGACCAAUCUUACAGCAUGUAGUCACACAAACCACAUCCUCGAGUUCUGGGAGAGCAUGCUUGCUUUUGGCUGCAUCUUCAAUGGCUCUGUUUUUUCUUUUUGUGGCCCCAAGUCUGCUCUCUCUGUGGGCCUGAAAUCCUCUCUUAAAGAUGUGACGUUUGUGGAAUCUGAGAAGCAAUUUUUAUCUUGCUGUGGGCUUUCUUUUAUAGGAGGAGAGAAUAUUGCCCCCAACUCAGUCACUCUCUAUCCCAUCGUAUUUCUUCCUGUUUGAUCUCUCAGAGAUUAAAGUUCAGUAUAUUUCAGGACAGUUAUAUUGCUGAGGUAAUAUAAAAUUAUUAAAAACAGAGAGAGAGAGAGAGAGACAAUAUUGUGACUACACAUCAAAAGCUCUUUAAGACAAAGGAGGGAAAACUGACUUGAAACUGGAAUUAUUAGAAGCAUCUGUGGUGUCCCUUUAUUCCCAUUUAACAGUGCAACACAUUUUGGAAUGUCUUAACUAUUCAAACUGGCAACCUGGUACUGCCCUCGUUUUCUGAUUUGUACCCUAACACUUGUGGUUCAUCUGCUCCUGCAAAGGGAAGUAACAGCUGUUGAUUAAUGAGCUUUGACCUCAAGGUACAAAGGAAUAUUCUCCCAUGCUGCAGCCUGUAUGAAAUUGGGUUAUUUUUUUCAGUCUUUGGAGGAAUUUAAAACAAAACAGAAAUAUCUAUCAAUUCAUAAGAAGCGCAUUAAUUUUUAAACUGCAGCUGGUGCUCGGAGUACAAUGUGCAAAUAAUUGUUUAUAUGUGUGGGUACAUGUAUCUAUACACACUCAAAUGUUUUGGGUACUUAUUUCCACGGUUAAAAAAAAAUCCAGUAAUAUUUUGAAACAGUAACUAACAGGAACCAGAAUAACAUUUAUUUCCAGUCAUCCCCAGUGUAAACAUAGGCGAGUGUAUUUGGGCAGAUGCAGAGCUGGAAUGGCAGAAAGCACAGCCUUUGUGAUGCAGUCCCUAAUUGCUGGGUAGCCGCAGCAGGAGCAGGGCCAUGCUCCCGGUGCUGUGUGGGGUGAUCCCACCAUGCAGGGAGCCCAGCUGCCAGGGCAUGGGGACCAUGAGAACAGCCCAUCCUUGCAGAAAAGAUCCCCUCAGGUGAGAUCACCUGUCAUAUGCAUGGAGAGCUUCGUAUUUUAGGGGCAGAACAGGCAGAAAGGAGCAAAUGCUCAUUCUGACUUGCUAACAUUGGCCAUAGUGUGUAACCCUUCUUGCAGCAAGCCCUGAGCUCUGCAGGAGGCAGGGGGUGGAUCUCCUCUGGGGCCAGUACAGCACCUGUUCUGUGGAGCCCAGGUGGUCUGAUGCAUGCUUAAUUUGGCUUAGGAAUGAAGAUGGGAGUUGCUUGUCUUUCUUCCUACUGGUAACAGCCUGUGUGUGAACACGAGGAGCUGCAGAAGAGUCCCUCUGUGAUGAACUUCCUUGUCUUGGAAAGGACUGUGUUUCUUCCCUGAAGUUUUACCAGCCAGCCAGAGGGUCUUCUCUUGGCAUUGCCAGAGGGAUUAGGAGCAUUUCAUUUGAAGAUUACCACAGGACAUGGUCUAGAAUCUCUACAUCAAAAGCAAGAGAGCAUUUUGUACGUUGGUGUAAGAUGAUAGGCCUGCUGUAAGAACAUGAACAUAAUGGACUUGAUGCUGUCCUCGUGCCAGAUUUAUCCUGGUGUAACAAUUCUGACGGGAUGUGGGCUGUUUUUGCAAACCACAGACCUCAGGCGUCCAAAAUUUGCCGUCAAGAUUGUGUGCUGCUGUGAACUCAUGUAUCCCUAGGACAGUCCUGCAAGCCUGAGUUUGAUCCGGACGCCAUCACAUUGAGGGGUCAUUGAUUGCAGAUUCUGAAGAUUUGUGUGGAAAUCCUAUGGUAAAAAGUGUGAACAGAACAGAGGACCGGGAUGAGUACGUGGAAGUUUAAAUUGCUGAACAUCUACACUGGGGGUCUUGAUGUGCCUGGCUUCCUGUCAGAAAGGCAAACAGCUGAUGAAGAUGGACAUGACAAGCAAGUAGAACUAUGGGAGAAGGACUGGGCCAAUCUAGUAGCUUGGACUAACUCCCUGUCUACAUUAAAGGAUUAAAACAGAGAGGCUGCACGGACAGAGAAAUGUGUGGAAGCCGAUCUCGAGGUGGCAGCAAUGGUUCCAGGAGGAGGUGGGAGGCAGCACUGCAAGGCCGCAAUGCCAGCAGCCAGCUCUGCCUCCAGGGCUGCCAGGUGCAUCGCUGGGCUGUGUAUGAAACCUAUCAUCCUGCUCCAUCAGUUUCCUUGCCAUCAGCAGGAUCCCGGGGCUGCGGAAGCAGAAGGACAGUUGCCUCAUUUGUUUCCUGAGGGAAAAUACUCCAAGAGAAGUCCAAGGGCCUCAGCACGAUGGAAAGAAAAUGCCUUGUUGUUCAGGUGGCCAAUGCUGCCUAAGCUGUGGAAAUAAGAGGUACAGCAGCUUGGAGAGGUGUCAUUUGGUUCAGUCCUAAACUAGAAGUACUGCUAAGGGAACAGAGUACGUGCAGCAUCUGGCAGCAGUGAGGGUUGCACAAGGCACAGAGAUGUAAGACCACCAAGCUGGGCUCUGGUGCUGAUGAAUCGUUAACUCGUGGAAUGUACUGCUCCAGGAGACCAGCGCGCUGCCACCACGCUUAUAAAAGAUUAACGUCUGGAGUGGGCCUUGAAGCCACCUCAUCUCUGCAGGUCAGAUGUGUUUAAUAACUGCGCAGACCCUCGAGGCUUUGACACGAGGCGCUCGUUAGCGAGGUGGGGUGGGGGUGCUGGGGGGAGCCCGGCCCUUUGGA